AGAUUGAACGCUGGCGGCAGGCCUAACACACGCAAGUCGAGCGGUAGAGAGGUGCUUGCAUCUCUUGAGAGCGGCGGACGGGUGAGUAAUGCCUAGGAAUCUGCCUAGUGGUGGGGGGAUAACGUUCGGAAACGGACGCUAAUACCGCAUACGUCCUACGGGAGAAAGCGGGGGACCUUCGGGCCUCGCGCCAUUAGAUGAGCCUAGGUCGGAUUAGCUAGUUGGUGAGGUAAUGGCUCACCCAAGGCGACGAUCCGUAACUGGUCUGAGAGGAUGAUCAGUCACACUGGAACCUGAGACACGGUCCAGACGUCCUACGGGAGGCCAGCAGGUGGGGAAUAUUGGACAAUUGGGCGAAAGCCUAGAGUCCAGCCAAGUGCCCGUGGUGUGUGAAGGUAAGGUCUUCGGAAUUGUAAAGCUAACUUUAAGUUGGGAAGGAAGG
This 442-nucleotide ribosomal RNA is filed under the name uncultured soil bacterium. RNAcentral describes it as "bacterial SSU rRNA". It matches the Rfam family "Bacterial small subunit ribosomal RNA", at positions 26 to 452 of the family's 1533-position model. The record is from RNAcentral.